Molecule: ribosomal RNA, 255 nt
Filed under: uncultured bacterium
Lineage: Bacteria
Description: partial 16S ribosomal RNA
Rfam family: Bacterial small subunit ribosomal RNA
Source: RNAcentral
UACGAAGGGGGGCUAGCGUUAAUCGGAAUUACUGGGCGUAAAGCGUGCGCAGGCGGUCUGUUAAGACCGAUGUGAAAUCCCCGGGCUUAACCUGGGAACUGCAUUGGUGACUGGCAGGCUUUGAGUGUGGCAGAGGGAGGUAGAAUUCCACGUGUAGCAGCGAAAUGCGUAGAGAUGUGGAGGAAUACCGAUGGCGAAGGCAGCCUCCUGGGCCAACACUGACGCUCAUGCACGAAAGCGUGGGGAGCAAACAGG